This 529-nucleotide long non-coding RNA is filed under the name Capra hircus (goat). RNAcentral describes it as "lncRNA (ENSCHIG00000003840.1)". Lineage: Eukaryota; Metazoa; Chordata; Mammalia; Artiodactyla; Bovidae. The record is from RNAcentral.
GUCACUUAAUCCCCUUAGUGUUUGAUCCGUAGAUCAUUGUGUUUAAACAUGUGGGUCUAUUAUUAGCAAAAACUACACACAAACUUUAAAUAUCAUUCGAAGGGUUAAAAUUUUUGUCAUGUUUCACUCAUGAUGUGUUAGUAAGCAGUCACUCCAAACUCUGCAUUUUUUGUAAAACUAGUCCAUGAAUGAAGAUUUUAAAAGUGUUAGUUGUCUUGUUUCUAUGGAAACCAGCAGUAAUCUACACUGAUUACUGAACUCAGGGAAAGUAGAAUCAGAAGGUACCAUUAUGAAGAAGACACCUCUAUAAACUAUAAAGGUGGACACACCUGUUAUCUAAAUUAUGCGAUUUAUCCAGUUGAAGAGGCUUCUUGAUAGUUAAGAGAUUUACAUCAGCCUAUUUCACUGUGGCCAAAUGGAAAACGCAGAGGAUUCUUUACCAGCUGAGCUGCCUGGGAAGCCCACAGACCUGAUUCCCAGUAUCAAAAAGGUUGGGGACCACUGCUGCAAAGGAUCCAUUCAGAAAUAA